Long non-coding RNA from Zootermopsis nevadensis, 1358 nucleotides. RefSeq lists it as uncharacterized. The record is from RefSeq and is a predicted model, not a curated record. Lineage: Eukaryota; Metazoa; Arthropoda; Insecta; Blattodea; Termopsidae.
UUGUGGCUCAUCGUGCCGAGGGGGUGUAACAAGGAAAGAUGCAUAACAGUGCAAUUACAUCGCUAUAUAUCAAUAAUAUUAUUGGUGUUCUAAAUUUCCAACUCUUACUUUUUUAUCUUUAGUCUGUCUACAUAAUUAAUGUUCUUCAAAACAAUUUUAAGAUCAGGAGGACAACUUUUUUCAGACAUCACAAUAAGCCUCUCUUUUUUUAGUUAGGUGUGAAGCAACCUUCAUUUUAAACAUCGAACUUGUUAAUUAUUCCUUGUUACGGCGCAAUAUUGUCUUUGAAGUGAAUAAAUCUAAUUUUCUCCAACUGCGUCACUCUUAGAUCCCUUUUUCUUGUUUUAGUUUCCAUAAUUUGCUGUGCUGUUACUGUGGUAAUUUAUUAAUUCCGAAGUCGUAACUGCAGAAGCUGCGUGGUGCUUGCCCAUAAAUGCAUCUUUCUUUGGCGAAACAAGGUCAAACUUAAGGACCACUGCAUCAAAAAUUUUCCAUUUAAAAUUAUUAUUUGUACGUCUGUUUCCCGAUGCUGUUGUCGAUUACGUAAUUUUUUAGUCUUGUUUAAGUUGGAGUAUUCUAGAUGAAAAAAUUCUGCUUUCAAAGAUGAGGGCUUUAAAUCCUCGGAGCAGUCUUCCUUGAAAUGGUCUGGAAUUAAGUUGCGGGCAUGCAUCCGGAGGAGUAUAACCAGUGCAGUUGGUAAAGCACCGCUGAAUAAACCAAUAGCAGGCACCCAUCGAGUACUGCAGACAAUACGCUGCUUUCUGUGGAGUCCGGACGGAAAGAUGGAGCACCAUACGUCGUACACCAGUUUCUGGUAUUUUCAAAAACAUAUCGUCCUGAUGAUGGAGGCAGCAAGCACGCUUGACAUGCCGGUCAGUUCCUGUGCAACGUCCGAAGUUUCCGUAAGAACGUGAAGUCUCAUCGAACUGUUUUGCCACUUCCGACCAUUUGCCCGCUUGUAAUCGGAUCCAACACAGAAUUUUGUCGGUAGGUGUAGACAUUAUAUACUACUUACUUCAGAUUCCUAACAAGAAAAUUUAAAGUAGGGGAGAAGGGAGCUAGUUGUUAUGCGGGCAAGUUGUUAUAUUUUAGUUUAAAAAUCACUCAUUUGCAGCAGCAUCUCAUGAGUCAGCAGCUGAUGAAGUAUCUUCUGGAAGAAUCUCGUUAAGGCAAAUUGCUAAUAUAUGAUGAAAAUGUUUAUGUUUGAAGUUAAUUUCUGUAAUUAAUUGUUAAUUGGCAUAUUGUCUGUAAUUAAUUACUUCUGUUUACUAAUACAGUGUGUUGUAACAAAUUUCCCCUUCACUGUUACAAACCGCCUUCUCUUAAAUAAACAAGUUUUGUGAUGAAACAAAAAUGAA